AAUCAACGCUGGCGGCGUGCCUAACACAUGCAAGUCGAACGAGAAAUGGGGGCGAACCCUGCGAGUACAGUGGCAGACGGGUGAGUAACACGUGAACAACUACCCUUGAGUGGGGAAUAACACCGCGAAAGCGGAGCUAAUACCGCAUAACAUCUUGAGCUCGCAUGGGCGAGAGAUCAAAGCCGAAAGGCGCUUGAGGAGGGGUUCGCGGCUGAUUAGCUAGUUGGUGAGGUAACGGCUCACCAAGGCGACGAUCAGUAGCCGGCCUGAGAGGGCGAAACGGCCACACUGGAACUGAGACACGGUCCAGACUCCUACGGGAGGCAGCAGUGGGGAAUUUUGCGCAAUGGGCGAAAGCCUGACGCAGCAACGCCGCGUGGAGGAUGAAGGCCUUCGGGUCGUAAACUCCUGUCGACGGGGAAGAAAGCCGAAAGGUUUGACUGUACCCGUUGAGGAAGCCACGGCUAACUCCGUG
This 475-nucleotide ribosomal RNA is filed under the name uncultured bacterium. RNAcentral's name for it is "bacterial SSU rRNA". It matches the Rfam family "Bacterial small subunit ribosomal RNA", at positions 29 to 507 of the family's 1533-position model. The record is from RNAcentral.